GUAGAGAGGAGGUUGAAUUCUAUCCGAAUUUGGCUUUCUCUCCGAUGUGUUUGCAUGGAAGAAGACUCCCAGUGGAAGUCUUCAACGUUUUUCUUUUUUUCUUACCUCUUUUGUUUCUUUUUUUUGUUUCUUUACUUUUUUUUCCUUUUCAUGCCCUAAGAUUCACGCACAGGGGAUUUUAGAGCUGGGUUUCACAAUAUGUAUCGAUUAUAAAC
Molecule: long non-coding RNA, 215 nt
Filed under: Elaeis guineensis (African oil palm)
Lineage: Eukaryota; Viridiplantae; Streptophyta; Magnoliopsida; Arecales; Arecaceae
Description: long non-coding RNA (EGUI_LNC035127)
Source: RNAcentral